Molecule: non-coding RNA, 1141 nt
Organism: Arvicanthis niloticus (Nile rat)
Lineage: Eukaryota; Metazoa; Chordata; Mammalia; Rodentia; Muridae
Source: RefSeq, a predicted model, not a curated record
AUUCACCCAAUAGGAAGCAGAAGAAACCUACACUUUCCUUUGAUUUUGGUUUCCAGUAUUUAGACUUUCUCUAAAUAUUACCUCAUACAACUACCAGAUACUAUUCACUGGAGGAUGAGCAGUUUCUUCCAUAUAUGGCUUUGGACAUGAACAAAGAGAGGCUCAAGUACAGAACACAAGAGUGAGAAUCGGAUGAAGAUUCACAGAGAACAAAAAAAGGCAUCUAAAUCCAGAACAAGCUCCAAUUAGUACUAACUGUAUACUGUCCUUUAAAACAAAAGAAAGCAAAGCCAAGAAAGAGACAGCUGAUUGCUAAGAUGUGAACCUAACACAAAGACAGCAGAAGACCAGGAGACUAACCGAAACAGAAGCACCAUGGAAGUUGCUGCAGGGACAAGCAGUGCACACUCAUGCUCUGAUUUUAACUCUAAGCUAAAAGACUAUCAAGAGGAUGGACAUGUAAACCGAUGAGAGCUGCAGGCUUCUGAUGGGGUUCAGUCAUUGAAGACUCUAAUGAAAAUACUCUUCUAUUGAUUUAUUUUCUCUCACUUUCCUCUUACCCACCCCCACCUCCAUCCCCUGCCUUACAGAGGGGGAAUACCAGCCAGUUUAUUGACACGGGAGCCUGAGAGAAAACAGGAAAGUGGGGUACAGUAUGGUCAGAGGCAACAGCAUUGGGUUGGCUUGUGAUGAGCUCUGCCUGUCCUUGGCCUCACAGAGUCAAAAGCACAGACUGAGUCUUCCUUGCUACUGAAGUCUGAACAGUGGAAAAUGAAUAUUGGGCAGGGAUGGUACCUCUGCUACCUGCAGCUUUGUCUGAGGUCAAGACAGUAGGUACAUGGAUUUUUGGAGUUCAUAUUUUAAUGUAUUCUCAGUAACAAGCCUGGAUAUAAAAAAGGAAUUACUGAGCACCACAACUUUCGCAUUUAAUCUCUGAAGAUGUUCAAGGAUCGAGCUACUAAAGCCACAAAUGGGAGGAAGAAAGGACAGCUGAACCUGAUACACAAAGCACUUCCUGACUCCCAGAAGAUUUCACAGACCCCAAAUCUCCACUACAUUCUCCUGACAUGGGUUGCUUUUUUAUAUUAGAUCAUUUCUAAACCAUGCAGUACUUACUUUUGUUUUCAUUACAGAUAGAGAG